CUGAAAUGCAGGCUUCGGGAGCGCCGUGGGGAGAACACGCCUCCUUGAACACCAGACGGUGUAUUACACUCACUUUAGUGAGUGUCACCCAACAAACAGCUCAGCAGCUCCUGUGUGCUGUUACCCCUCACAACAACCUUGCCAGACAUUUUAAAGCUACUCACACCUAGAAGCGGGCUAUGGCAGAGAAGAUAACUCUGGAGCGAUUCGUUCAUGCCAACAGUGACCGAGCACGAGGGCUGAAGACGACAAGGUUUUACUAUCGAGUGACAUUCUGGCUCCGCAGGCCCCUGACAGUCUGGAGAGUUCGUUUGCCCGGACUCGUCACGUCGUUGUCUGGAAACACACACACACGGACGGCGGCUCUGGGCUCUGCAUGGUCCGUGGGCUCCUGCCCACCGGGCAGCCAGCACGGUGCUUGGCCUUGACCCCAGAGACGACGCAACCCUAACUUGGCUUCAGCUUCUGUAACUGGGACUUGACCAGGCCAAGGAGGAACCCAGGCCAGGGGAACCCCCCGCUUUUGAAAUUCUGAGGGUCAAGGAAACUGGUGCAUGAUGGGUGCUUCCCCCUGCCUGCCUCCUGAAGCCGUACGCCUCAGCUUGCUUGUGGCCGUGUUUAUUCGGGAAGAGGAAGACUA
Long non-coding RNA from Eptesicus fuscus (big brown bat), 640 nucleotides. RefSeq lists it as uncharacterized. Lineage: Eukaryota; Metazoa; Chordata; Mammalia; Chiroptera; Vespertilionidae. The record is from RefSeq and is a predicted model, not a curated record. The transcript has 3 exons.